Molecule: long non-coding RNA, 3165 nt
Organism: Eptatretus burgeri (inshore hagfish)
Lineage: Eukaryota; Metazoa; Chordata; Myxini; Myxiniformes; Myxinidae
Source: Ensembl
CCCCCCCCCCCCCCCCCCCCCCCCCCCCCCCCCCAUAAAGAUCUCUUGUGCAUACUCUCUGAAGUUCUUGCAUGCAGCAGGCUUUAGCAUCUGCACAAUGGCUGCUCCAUCAAUGACUAUAUGGUGGUGGUAGGAGCCUCUGACCUUGCAUCUGAGAUCUCUUCAGAGCAUGUGAGUAGGUCGCUUUUUGUACCUAAGCGGAGACUCCAUCCAUCAGACAGUGCUGGAGGGCAUGCCUGAUUUUCAUGGCGAAAGAACUCGUCCAGGUUUCCAUCCCUCAUCUGACAGCUGAUGUAGAGCCGUGAGAAGAGUUGAGCAUUGUUCUUGAGGCAAGUGAGCUUAUGCUUCUCCUUGCUCACGUUCCUUCUUGGUUGAGCCUUGAACACUGAGCUUAUUUCGGUGAAUUGUGUUAGCAACUGGCUUGGUUCUUUCAACAAGGCAAUCCCUGGAGAAAGCCUGGAACUGCUUUAGGGCAAUCUCCCUUACCUUUCUGACUGCCUCAAUUGCAGGAGAACCAACAAUUUCUUUGGUAUCAAGAGCAACGAGAUCUGGGCUGUCUUCCUCAAAGGGGUUCCCGAGCUCUUCCAUGACUGACUAGUGACCGGAUAUCUUCACUGAAUGAGGCUUGGACACUGGUCGUCUGGUCAUGGUGGCGUAUGUUGUCUUCUCUUCCAGAGUGCUGGUUUCCAUGUUGAAACUCCCCCCCCCCCCCCCCCCCCCCCCCCCCCCCCCCCCCCCCCCCCCCCCCCCCCCCCCCCCCUCAGUGAGGCCAACUGCCCCACCAUCUCCUUUGAUGCAGGCAUUGUUCUGCUCGUGUGCCUGGUCUAUUGGGAUUGAUGAGAAGAUCUUUUGUCUUUUGUACCAUGAAGCUAUCUUCUCGAAACUUUCUGGCUACUUCUGGGUGCCUUCCAGGAAGUUCAGUCAUGUCCUUCAAGUGAACUGGAAUCCACCUGGCAUAGUUCAUGUUGUCCAUGGCAUGGAACCAACAGGCCAAUUCUGUCAGGGAAUCAAGGUACAUAGUGAACGAUGCUCGUCGCAGAGAACGUACAUACACAUUCAACAACAACUCCAAUUGACCAGUACUGGAACUGGGGAAUUUCCUGGUCAGAAGGUUCCCCCAGGUAUUGCGCUUUGCUUACUGAAGGGACCACUUCAAGUUCAGUACAGAAGUCGGUGUAUUGUUCAUAAAUGGAUGCAAGGUGUUCAGGUUUCUGUCAGUCAGUGAUGUUGUCUUUGACGUAGGAAUAAAUACAGUCAAUAGGAAACUUGGGAUUAACAGGCUCCUCAGCGAUGGGGGGCAGCCCAAAACUUUUCACCUAAUCCACCCUCCGGAUAUAUGUGGCACGACAACUGUGGUGAAACUGGGCUUCCUUAGCCAUCAGGUCAACCCCACUGACUUUUACAAGUAAACAUACUUGCUUGAGGGUAUGCACAAUCUCUAUAAUCUUUUGUGCUGCUUGCUUGGUUUGCAAUUUUCCUGGGAGCUCUUUUGUUCCGUCUGGGAGUUUUUUGAUCUUUUUGUCACAAAACAAACAUGCAUCAGGGAAAAUACCAAGAGUUGACACCCUUCUGCGAGACUUCACCACUAACAGUUGAAGCAGAUGAUGCAAGAGCGUAACACCUUUCUCUCUGGGCCUACAGUGUCAUUCCCAAUAGGCCUAGGUGGAGACUGAGUAGUAAUGGCUGUAAAGUUCUUGUAGCACUUGCUGUGGUACCCAUCAUCAUCUCCUGGAUGACUUGGCAAACGCCUCAACAACUGCUCUGUAUUUGGAAGAUUGGUAGUUCCUACUUCCCUUCCUGGCCCCAGCAGCACGCUGAACAACUGCCCAUUUCUCUUGCUGCCAGGGAAGUAACUUGCUUGUCUCGGUCAGAACAACAUGUAUAAGACACUUUGAAGUCAAUGACUGGUGGGCAGAUGCUGUGAAGGUAAGACAAAAGGGACACGUGUGGUGUGUCAUGAAUUUCUCAAUUACCGAAAUACAGAAUUACAGAAUAUGGACCGAUUGACAUUAUCAUUAUCAUAACCUACCAUUAUCAUUUCCUUGGCUUGCCAUUUUUAUGUGAGAUCAUCAGGAGCCCUUGAAUUAAUGAGUUUCUAAAGAGAAGAUAGGAAAAAUAAUAAUGUGAAGUUAUUAUAUAGCGCUUUAUAAUGUUGAACAUUCUCAAAGCGCUUCACAUUUAUGACCCACAUCUAUUGGCCUGUUAUUUCAAAGUUCUUUCUCCACUCCUUGGGGAGUAUUACAGCCCGGCUGCUGUUUUCAGCGCUCACUUCUCAUUCUCUGUCAGCCAAAUACCCAUUACUCCUGGGUGGGGAGAAGCAAGUUUGGUCAAGUGCCUUGCCCAAGGACACAAAGAAACAGAUGGUGAUCAGACUGGGAAUACGAACUCGGCAUUCCCGCUCCUGAGUCUGACACUGUGCCACUACACCACUGCUUCCCCUAAAAAAACAGUGCCAAUUCAUAUCUUUAGAUCAAUGAAAUUAACCCAUGGGCAUGGGAGUGUGGCAAAAUUGGCCGAAAUUGCAUCAGCGUCAUUGAAGACCUGAUGGAGGCCUUCUCGAAGAAUGCUUUAGAAGGUCAGUGUAGACCGAAAAUAAUAAGUACUGUACAUAUAGUACACUUUUGCUUACCUUUAGGAUAAGUGCAGCUUUCAGUGUUCUGUCUUUUUCAUGUCAAUGUUGCUUGGUCCAUAUGACUAGGCUGAGAAUAUUAGACUUGCAAUACCUUCAGUGAAAUCUUUGCCUCAUAUGUACUUUGUCAAAUGAAAAGAAAUGUCACGGAGUCUGGCUUCACUUUCACUUUUACACUCCACACGCAGUAGGUGUGGGUGACUGAAUGCACAGGGGCAGCCUGUACGUUCCAGUAAGAGUUGAUUAGUGGAUGACCUGAAUCUCACAGCAUGCAGGUAUAUAGCCAGUCGCCCCCGCAAGCACGAGGAUUAUAGUCCAUUUUCUGAGAUGUCGUCGCUGUGUGAUAUCGUCCUGAGCUAAAAAUAGUAACUUGAUGCUAGUUGGCCUGCAGAAAUGUGUUGUGUAUUGGGUGAAUGUGUAGCUGAACACCUGUGCCUCGGCAGAUGUGGCCUAGUGGUUGCCAGGGCCAAAUCCAAUAAGGAUUUGCUCGACCCUCCUUGGUCCUUUUGAGCCCUUCUUAAGCCGAAACGGGGGGG